RNAcentral lists this ribosomal RNA (697 nucleotides) under Salmonella enterica. RNAcentral describes it as "partial 23S ribosomal RNA". It matches the Rfam family "Bacterial large subunit ribosomal RNA", at positions 711 to 1405 of the family's 2925-position model. Lineage: Bacteria; Pseudomonadati; Pseudomonadota; Gammaproteobacteria; Enterobacterales; Enterobacteriaceae. The record is from RNAcentral.
AGACCCGAAACCCGGUGAUCUAGCCAUGGGCAGGUUGAAGGUUGGGUAACACUAACUGGAGGACCGAACCGACUAAUGUUGAAAAAUUAGCGGAUGACCUGUGGCUGGGGGUGAAAGGCCAAUCAAACCGGGAGAUAGCUGGUUCUCCCCGAAAGCUAUUUAGGUAGCGCCUCGUGAAUUCAUCUCCGGGGGUAGAGCACUGUUUCGGCUAGGGGGCCAUCCCGGCUUACCAACCCGAUGCAAACUGCGAAUACCGGAGAAUGUUAUCACGGGAGACACACGGCGGGUGCUAACGUCCGUCGUGAAGAGGGAAACAACCCAGACCGCCAGCUAAGGUCCCAAAGUCAUGGUUAAGUGGGAAACGAUGUGGGAAGGCCCAGACAGCCAGGAUGUUGGCUUAGAAGCAGCCAUCAUUUAAAGAAAGCGUAAUAGCUCACUGGUCGAGUCGGCCUGCGCGGAAGAUGUAACGGGGCUAAACCAUGCACCGAAGCUGCGGCAGCGACACUGUGUGUUGUUGGGUAGGGGAGCGUUCUGUAAGCCUGCGAAGGUGGCCUGUGAGGGUUGCUGGAGGUAUCAGAAGUGCGAAUGCUGACAUAAGUAACGAUAAAGCGGGUGAAAAGCCCGCUCGCCGGAAGACCAAGGGUUCCUGUCCAACGUUAAUCGGGGCAGGGUGAGUCGACCCCUAAGGCGAGGCCGA